UGGGUUGUGGCUCAGUGGUAGAGCGCUUGCCUAGCAUGCAUGUGAAGCACUGAGUUCAAUCCUAGCACCACAU
This 73-nucleotide transfer RNA is filed under the name Marmota marmota marmota (Alpine marmot). It matches the Rfam family "tRNA". Rfam says of the family: Transfer RNA (tRNA) molecules are approximately 80 nucleotides in length. Their secondary structure includes four short double-helical elements and three loops (D, anti-codon, and T loops). The record is from Rfam by way of RNAcentral. Lineage: Eukaryota; Metazoa; Chordata; Mammalia; Rodentia; Sciuridae. RNAcentral also lists the same sequence under 1 other name.